ACACGGGGGCAGCAGUGGGGAAUAUUGGGCAAUGGGCGCAAGCCUGACCCAGCAACGCCGCGUGAAGGAAGAAGGCUUUCGGGUUGUAAACUUCUUUUCUCAGGGACGAAGAAAGUGACGGUACCUGAGGAAUAAGCCACGGCUAACUACGUGCCAGCAGCCGCGGUAAUACGUAGGUGGCAAGCGUUAUCCGGAUUUACUGGGUGUAAAGGGCGUGUAGGCGGGACUGCAAGUCAGAUGUGAAAACCACGGGCUCAACCUGUGGCCUGCAUUUGAAACUGUAGUUCUUGAGUACUGGAGAGGCA
This 305-nucleotide ribosomal RNA is filed under the name uncultured bacterium. RNAcentral's name for it is "bacterial SSU rRNA". It matches the Rfam family "Bacterial small subunit ribosomal RNA", at positions 341 to 659 of the family's 1533-position model. The record is from RNAcentral.